AGCAGCCGCGGUAAUUCCAGCUCCAAUAGCGUAUAUUAAAGUUGUUGCAGUUAAAAAGCUCGUAGUUGAAUUUCGGAAUCUGUCCGUCGGUCGGGCUUCACUGUCCGUACUGGUGUGAUGGGUUUCUACCUUCUGAAUAACCGGCAUGUCAUUAAUUUGGUGCGCCGGGGAAGCAGAACUAUUACCUUGAAAAAAUUAGAGUGCUUAAAGCAGGCUAUCGCCUGAAUAGAUUAGCAUGGAAUAAUAAAAUAGGACGGCAUGGUUCUAUUUUGUUGGUUUCUAGGAUCACCGUAAUGAUUAAUAGGGAUAGUUGGGGGCAUUAGUAUUCAAUUGUCAGAGGUGAAAUUCUUGGAUUUAUUGAAGACUAACUUCUGCGAAAGCAUUUGCCAAGGAUGUUUUCAUUAAUCAAGAACGAAAGCUAGGGGAUCGAAGACGAUCAGAUACCGUCGUAGUCUUAACCAUAAACUAUGCCGACUAGGGAUCGGACGAUGUUAAUUUUUUAAUGACUCG
Molecule: ribosomal RNA, 510 nt
Filed under: Acaulospora sp. PSAM-Aca-1
Lineage: Eukaryota; Fungi; Glomeromycota; Glomeromycetes; Diversisporales; Acaulosporaceae
Description: SSU rRNA
Rfam family: Eukaryotic small subunit ribosomal RNA
Source: RNAcentral